This 1501-nucleotide ribosomal RNA is filed under the name uncultured marine bacterium. Its description in RNAcentral is "16S ribosomal RNA". It matches the Rfam family "Bacterial small subunit ribosomal RNA". The record is from RNAcentral.
GAGUUUGAUCAUGGCUCAGAUUGAACGCUGGCGGAAUGCUUUACACAUGCAAGUCGAACGGCAGCAUAGAGAGCUUGCUCUCUGAUGGCGAGUGGCGAACGGGUGAGUAAUAUAUCGGAACGUGCCUAGUAAUGGGGAAUAACUAGCUGAAAGGUUAGCUAAUGCCGCAUACGACCUACGGGUGAAAGCAGGGGAUCUUCGGACCUUGCGUUAUUAGAGCGGCCGAUAUCUGAUUAGCUUGUUGGUGGGGUAAUGGCCUACCAAGGCGACGACCAGUAGCUGGUCUGAGAGGACGAUCAGCCACACUGGAACUGAGACACGGUCCAGACUCCUACGGGAGGCAGCAGUGGGGAAUUUUGGACAAUGGGGGCAACCCUGAUCCAGCCAUUCCGCGUGAGUGAAGAAGGCCUUCGGGUUGUAAAGCUCUUUCGCAAGAGAAGAAAACUUUCUAUCUAAUAAAUAGUAAGUAUGACGGUAUCUUGACAAGAAGCACCGGCUAACUACGUGCCAGCAGCCGCGGUAAUACGUAGGGUGCAAGCGUUAAUCGGAAUUACUGGGCGUAAAGCGUGCGCAGGCAGUUUUAUAAGUCAGAUGUGAAAUCCCCGAGCUCAACUUGGGAACUGCGUUUGAAACUAUAAGACUAGAGUGUGUCAGAGGGGGGUAGAAUUCCAAGUGUAGCAGUGAAAUGCGUAGAGAUUUGGAGGAAUACCAAUGGCGAAGGCAGCCCCCUGGGAUAACACUGACGCUCAUGCACGAAAGCGUGGGGAGCAAACAGGAUUAGAUACCCUGGUAGUCCACGCCCUAAACGAUGUCUACUAGUUGUUGGUGGAGUAAAAUCCAUGAGUAACGCAGCUAACGCGUGAAGUAGACCGCCUGGGGAGUACGGUCGCAAGAUUAAAACUCAAAUGAAUUGACGGGGGCCCGCACAAGCGGUGGAUUAUGUGGAUUAAUUCGAUGCAACGCGAAAAACCUUACCUGGCCUUGACAUGUACCGAAUUUAGCAGAGAUGCUUUAGUGCUCGAAAGAGAGCCGUAACACAGGUGCUGCAUGGCUGUCGUCAGCUCGUGUCGUGAGAUGUUGGGUUAAGUCCCGCAACGAGCGCAACCCUUGUCAUUAGUUGCUACAUUUAGUUGGGCACUCUAAUGAGACUGCCGGUGACAAACCGGAGGAAGGUGGGGAUGACGUCAAGUCCUCAUGGCCCUUAUGGGUAGGGCUACACACGUCAUACAAUGGCUGGUACAAAGGGUUGCCAACCCGCGAGGGGGAGCUAAUCCCAUAAAGCCAGUCGUAGUCCGGAUCGUAGUCUGCAACUCGACUACGUGAAGUCGGAAUCGCUAGUAAUCGUGGAUCAGAAUGUCACGGUGAAUACGUUCCCGGGUCUUGUACACACCGCCCGUCACACCAUGGGAGCGGGUCUCGCCAGAAGUAGUUAGCCUAACCGCAAGGGGGGCGAUUACCACGGCGGGGUUCGUGACUGGGGUGAAGUCGUAACAAGGUAACC